RNAcentral lists this ribosomal RNA (412 nucleotides) under uncultured bacterium. Its description in RNAcentral is "bacterial SSU rRNA". It matches the Rfam family "Bacterial small subunit ribosomal RNA", at positions 28 to 416 of the family's 1533-position model. The record is from RNAcentral.
GACGAACGCUGGCGGCGCGCCUAACACAUGCAAGUCGAACGGAGUUAUUCUGAAUGAAGUUUUCGGAUGGAUUUUGGUAUUAACUUAGUGGCGAAACGGGUGAGUAACGCGUGAGUAACCUGCCCUGGAGUGGGGGACGAACAGUUGGAAACGACUGCUAAUACCGCAUAAGCCCACGGUGCCGCAUGGCACAGCGGGAAAAGGAUUUAUUCGCUUCAGGAUGGACUCGCGUCCAAUUAGCUAGUUGGUGAGGUAACGGCCCACCAAGGCGACGAUUGGUAGCCGGACUGAGAGGUUGAACGGCCACACUGGGACUGAGACACGGCCCAGACUCCUACGGGAGGCAGCAGUAGGGAAUCUUCGGCAAUGGGCGAAAGCCUGACCGAGCAACGCCGCGUGAAUGAUGAGGGCC